CACUGGUGGGCCUUGCUUAGUCCC
Molecule: unclassified non-coding RNA, 24 nt
Filed under: Mus musculus (house mouse)
Lineage: Eukaryota; Metazoa; Chordata; Mammalia; Rodentia; Muridae
Description: oocyte_clustered_small_RNA11418
Source: RNAcentral